Molecule: ribosomal RNA, 179 nt
Filed under: uncultured bacterium
Lineage: Bacteria
Description: partial 16S ribosomal RNA
Rfam family: Bacterial small subunit ribosomal RNA
Source: RNAcentral
UCGCCUGCACGAAGUUGGAGUUGCUAGUAAUCGCAGAUCAGAAUGCUGCGGUGAAUGCGUUCCCGGGUCUUGUACACACCGCCCGUCACACCAUGGAAGUUGGGGGUGCCCAAAGUCGGUUAGAAAAUAAACUGCCUAAGGCAAAACCAAUGACUGGGGUGAAGUCGUAACAAGGUAUC